This 713-nucleotide ribosomal RNA is filed under the name Salmonella enterica. RNAcentral describes it as "partial 23S ribosomal RNA". It matches the Rfam family "Bacterial large subunit ribosomal RNA", at positions 2238 to 2925 of the family's 2925-position model. RNAcentral also lists the same sequence under 1 other name. The record is from RNAcentral. Lineage: Bacteria; Pseudomonadati; Pseudomonadota; Gammaproteobacteria; Enterobacterales; Enterobacteriaceae.
AUCCGGGUUGCGGACAGUGUCUGGUGGGUAGUUUGACUGGGGCGGUCUCCUCCUAAAGAGUAACGGAGGAGCACGAAGGUUAGCUAAUCCUGGUCGGACAUCAGGAGGUUAGUGCAAAGGCAUAAGCUAGCUUGACUGCGAGCGUGACGGCGCGAGCAGGUGCGAAAGCAGGUCUUAGUGAUCCGGUGGUUCUGAAUGGAAGGGCCAUCGCUCAACGGAUAAAAGGUACUCCGGGGAUAACAGGCUGAUACCGCCCAAGAGUUCAUAUCGACGGCGGUGUUUGGCACCUCGAUGUCGGCUCAUCACAUCCUGGGGCUGAAGUAGGUCCCAAGGGUAUGGCUGUUCGCCAUUUAAAGUGGUACGCGAGCUGGGUUUAGAACGUCGUGAGACAGUUCGGUCCCUAUCUGCCGUGGGCGCUGGAGAAUUGAGGGGGGCUGCUCCUAGUACGAGAGGACCGGAGUGGACGCAUCACUGGUGUUCGGGUUGUCAUGCCAAUGGCAUUGCCCGGUAGCUAAAUGCGGGAGAGAUAAGUGCUGAAAGCAUCUAAGCACGAAACUUGCCCUGAGAUGAGUUCUCCCUGACCCUUUAAGGGUCCUGAAGGAACGUUGAAGACGACGACGUUGAUAGGUCGGGUGUGUAAGCGUAGCGAUACGUUGAGCUAACCGAUACUAAUGAACCGUGAGGCUUAACCUUACAACGCCAAAGGUGUUUUG